This 380-nucleotide unclassified non-coding RNA is filed under the name Hevea brasiliensis (rubber tree). The record is from RNAcentral. Lineage: Eukaryota; Viridiplantae; Streptophyta; Magnoliopsida; Malpighiales; Euphorbiaceae.
AUUAUUCUCCGGUUCUUCUUUCCUUUAGACCUCUUUGAUUUGGGGAUUGAGACACUGCGGAAAAGUCCCCCAUGAGCAGUAUAUACACGGCCAGCUAUAACAGAGGCCAAGGGAAGCCCUUCGAAGCAUCCCAAACACUUCCUAUAUGCAUGCUUACCUUUAUCAUCGUACUUCACCAAAACUUCCUUCUCAAAGCCAUAAACAGACGUGCAAUACUUGGAUUCAUGAUUGCCACGGAGGAGAUGCACUCUAUGUGGCAAAAAGACCUUCCAAGCUAACAAGAGCAAGAAGGUCUCGAGACCCCAAGCGCCUCGGUCAACGUAAUCACCAUUGAAGACGAAGAAGCGAUUAUCAGAAGGGAAUCCAGCAUCCUGCAAGAG